CAAGAACACGUUUUAUUCCAACAGUGCCAAACACAAAGCAUGAAAUUUUCCUAAAGUAAAUAUAUCGGUUGAAACACAAAGAAUACAACAGCUAGUUAAUAUGUGGUGUUUCGAAGUUUCUCAAAACUUUUUUUUUUUUUUUUUGACAAAAUGUGAAUUCAUUUCAAUAAGAAAUGGCAAAGAGGUACAAGCAAGCAUGAACCUAAAGCUGCAAUUAAGCAAAGUUCUAUCAAAGAGACCCCAAAAAAAGAUAAAAAAGCCCCUUGGAUACAAAAUAGGUUUAGUCUAAAUCAUAAGAAACAGACUAAAGCUAAACUAGGAGAUCAUAAGGUUAACUAUUGGCCAUAGGUAGACCAAGAAGCAACUCAUUCACUGUAAACUGCAAAUGAGAAGACUGGUCUUGGGUAUGGAUGGAAACGGAGCAAUCCCGGGGAUACUUUGACGGCAACAGGCGGAGUCGGAUUGGCGAGCCGUCCCCGGCUAUUACACUAACAAUGAGACCAGAUCCAGCCAAACCAGAGACUUUGCGAAGGAGAAGCUGUGAGUCCAAACUAACAGAUGAAAGACACUCGAUGAAGAACAAGGGCUCUUGAGGAGGUAGGCGGAGGUUUAUCUCCCGACUCCGGCCACUUCCUCGGAGGAGAUAAUGCAUUUCAACCGUCAAAGAGGCAGCAACACCCACCCAAAACUUCAUUCCCAGGCUUGAAGAACGGGAGCAGAAGCUCCAAACAAACACGGCAAGCGACUGAGGAUGCUGUAGAGUAACCGCAACGAAGGGUCUGAAACAGGGCCAGUCCCCGAAGCCCCAAAGAACCAACAAGCAGCAACAAGAAACAACACAUCCACGGAUAACCACCGUGAUAAGCUAACCCCACAAUCUUAAACAGAGGUUCUCAGUGGUUUCCUCCACACCACUUUCUCACAGAGAAGAGAAGCUCUGAACUUACCCGUGAGAUAAACCGACGGAGAUGAAGGAGCACGAAGCUAAUCGAAGACAUGAAGGAGGCAGCGACGCACCAGACUGCCAUCGACGCCUCAGAGAAACUAGAUCUGACCCAGAUCUAUCGCCUUCACCCAAGAGAGCAAGCUCACGGAACCCUUCAACACAACCAGUAACCGAGACCUCGUCACUGCUCCAGAGGGCCACAGACACCCGCGAAACCCCUUUUAAAACCGCCGGAGAACCACCGGAGGAGAUCCAGAAACAGUCAACAUGUCGGACGGGUUAAUGAGGAGAAGAAGGGGUAAGAGGAGGUAACCAAGACAAAAAACUAAAAAGGGGUGACCGACGACAAGGAGAGUCGCCAGUCACCGGAGGAAGACGAAUAGAUUUGGUUUUUUAGGGUAGAGAGGUUUUUAGAGAUAGAGAGAGAAAAAGUUUUUCUUCGUAGUCAUAAAAGGAGUAGGAGGUGUCGGCCAAGGUGCACAAGUAGCUCUGAACUUUGCAAAGUGGAACGCCGUUGGAGAUCAUACGAUGAAUAUGCGACUUGUAAUAGGGAUAAACUCUUGGUGUGUAUAUACUCUUCUAGUACUCAUGUUAAUAUUUAAUUAGUUAUUAUAACUAAAGUUAGAUAUAACAUGUUGACUUCACCCAGGAGAAUACCUACCAACAGGAUAGAUUAUGAUUUUGGGGCUGCAAUUCGUUCUUCAUGGCAGUCAAUCCUACUUAUACGUGGAAAUCGUAUGUGUAUAAUGUUAAUUUAUAUAUUUGUUUUUCGCAAUAGAUAGACAAGGAUCAUGAGAUAUAUAUAAAAAAAAGAGAUAUAUAUAUAUAUAUAUAUAUAUAAUAACUCUUUGUGAUUGUUUUGUGUUGCAGUCGAACCGAGUAUUCCUUUAUACUUUGCAAAAGAAACUGCUGUCUCCCUUAUAGAUGAUGGAUUUGGAGAAGUUUCGUUUGUACAAUUCCGAAUGUAUAAACAUACAUUAACGAUUUUACUUUGCUUUGUUCUACCAUUUUUGUUUGAACACUUUGUGUAAUUAGGUUAUGUCAUUGUGCAGGCUUGGUCGUGAAAUCACUGUGAACGUACUGAAAAAGGUCGAAGUCUGGUUGAACGGGAAGCUUCCACUCGAUCCAAACUAAUAUCAUCCAUGAACUGUUAUCUAUUUUUUUCAGUAUUUUCGUUGCGCUAUUUAGUGAACUAAUGUCGUUGAUAUUUUCAACAUUACUAAUAAAACUGCAUGAAACAGACUCUACAACUUAUGAUAUUUCCAUGAGAUUGUGUUCCUAUUAAUUUUUUUUUGACAAAAUGUGAAUUCAUUUCAAUAAGAAAUGGCAAAGAGGUACAAGCAAGCAUGAACCUAAAGCUGCAAUUAAGCAAAGUUCUAUCAAAGAGACCCCAAAAAAAGAUAAAAAAGCCCCUUCGAUACAAAAUAGGUUUAGUCUAAAUCAUAAGAAACAAACUAAAGCUAAACUAGGAGAUCAUAAGAUUAACUAUUGGCCAUAGGUAGACCAAGAAGCAACUAAUUCACUGUAAACUGCAAAUGAGAAGACUGGUCUUGGGUAUGGAUGGAAACGGAGCAAUCCCGGGGAUACUUUGACGGCAACAGGAGGAGGCGGAUUGGCGAGCUGGCCCCGGCUAUUACACUACCAAUGAGACCAAAUCCAGCCAAACCAGAAACUUUGCAAAGGAGAAGCUGUGAGUCCAAACUAACAGAUGAAAGACACUCGAUGAAGAACAGGGGCUCUUGAGGUGGUAGGCGGAGAUUUAUCUCCCGACUCCAGCCACUUCCUCGAGGAAUAAUGCAUUUCAACCGUCGAAGAGGCAGCGACACCCACCCGAAGCUUCAUUCUCAGGCUUGAAGAACGGGAGCAGAAGCUCCAAACAAACACGGCAAGCGACUGAAGAUGCUGUAGAGUAACCGCAACGAAGGGUCUGAAACAGGGCCAGUCCCCGAAGCCCCAAAGAACCAACAAGCAGCAACAAGAAACAACACUUCCACGGAUAACCACCGUGAUAAGCUAACCCCACAAUCUUAAACAGAGGUUCUCAGUGGUUUCCUCCACACCACUUUCUCACAGAGAAGAGAAGCUCUGAACUUACCCGUGAGAUAAACCGACGGAGAUGAAGGAGCACGAAGCUAAUCGAAGACAUGAAGGAGGCAGCGACGCACCAGACUGCCAUCGACGCCUCAGAGAAACUAGAUCUGACCCAGAUCUAUCGCCUUCACCCAAGAGAGCAAGCUCACGGAACCCUUCAACACAACCAGUAACCGAGACCUCGUCACUGCUCCAGAGGGCCACAA
RNAcentral lists this long non-coding RNA (3243 nucleotides) under Brassica napus (rape). RNAcentral's name for it is "long non-coding RNA (BNAP_LNC007115)". Lineage: Eukaryota; Viridiplantae; Streptophyta; Magnoliopsida; Brassicales; Brassicaceae. The record is from RNAcentral.